Molecule: unclassified non-coding RNA, 193 nt
Filed under: uncultured fungus
Lineage: Eukaryota; Fungi
Description: sequence contains ITS1, 5.8S rRNA gene
Source: RNAcentral
AAAGAAUUGAAGUUUCUAAAACUUCCAAUUCCCAACCCUUUGUUUAAUUAAACCUCUUGUUGCUUUGGUAUAGCCUGUAAUUAAUGCUUUCCUUAAAACGAACGCUUAUUUACUAUUAAGUUGCUUACCAAUAGCCUAUUUAAACUCAUGUUUUAAUUAUGUCAUGUCUGAAAUUUUAAUUAUAAAUUAAAAA